Marasmius fiardii PR-910 is the source of this 93-nucleotide non-coding RNA. Lineage: Eukaryota; Fungi; Basidiomycota; Agaricomycetes; Agaricales; Marasmiaceae. The record is from the annotation of a GenBank genome assembly.
GCAUUAAUGGGGUAGUGGUAACCUGGGUCGUUGCCACAAUGGGUGUCUAUAUUAGAUAUCGACCCGCCGGGGGUUCGAUUCCCUCUUAAUGCA